RNAcentral lists this ribosomal RNA (450 nucleotides) under uncultured bacterium. RNAcentral describes it as "partial 16S ribosomal RNA". It matches the Rfam family "Bacterial small subunit ribosomal RNA", at positions 354 to 796 of the family's 1533-position model. The record is from RNAcentral.
GUGGGGAAUCUUCCGCAAUGGACGAAAGUCUGACGGAGCAACGCCGCGUGAGUGAUGAAGGUCUUCGGAUUGUAAAGCUCUGUUAAUCGGGACGAAAGAGCCUAGUGUGAAUAAUGCUAGGAAGUGACGGUACCGGAAUAGAAAGCCACGGCUAACUACGUGCCAGCAGCCGCGGUAAUACGUAGGUGGCAAGCGUUGUCCGGAAUUAUUGGGCGUAAAGCGCGCGCAGGCGGAUCUGCCAGUCUGUCUUAAAAGUUCGGGGCUUAACCCCGUGAUGGGAUGGAGACUACAGAUCUAGAGUAUCGGAGAGGAAAGUGGAAUUCCUAGGGUAGCGGUGAAAUGCAUAGAGAUUUGGAAGAACACCAGUGGCGAAGGCGACUUUCUGGACGAUGUCUGACGCUGAGGCGCGAAAGCUAGGGGAGCGAACGGGAUUAGAAACCCUAGUAGUCC